CCUCAAAUCAGGUAGGACUACCCGCUGAACUUAAGCAUAUCAAUAA
Molecule: ribosomal RNA, 46 nt
Filed under: Pisolithus tinctorius
Lineage: Eukaryota; Fungi; Basidiomycota; Agaricomycetes; Boletales; Pisolithaceae
Also listed under: 4 other names
Description: partial 28S ribosomal RNA
Source: RNAcentral